RNAcentral lists this ribosomal RNA (1218 nucleotides) under uncultured Rhizaria. RNAcentral's name for it is "SSU rRNA". It matches the Rfam family "Eukaryotic small subunit ribosomal RNA", at positions 577 to 1805 of the family's 1831-position model. The record is from RNAcentral.
CGGUAAUUCCAGCUCCAAUAGCGUAUACUAAAGUUGUUGCAGUUAAAAAGCUCGUAGUUGGAUUUCUGCGGGGACGGAGCGGCCGGACGCAACUUGCGUCUCGAGCUAGCGCUUUCCCCGCAUCCUGCCGCGAACCGUGCUACCAUUAGCUUGGUGGCGCUGGGGAUCGGCUCGAUUACUUUGAGAAAAAUAGAGUGUUCAAAGCAGGCCACACGCCUUGAAUAAGUUAGCAUGGAAUAAUGACUAAGGACUUUGGUUCUUUUCGUUGGUGUUCGGGACUGAAGUAAUGAUUGAUAGGGACAGUUGGGGCGGUCUGUAUUCCAAAGCGAGAGGUGAAAUUCUUAGACCUUCGGAAGACAAACAGCUGCGAAAGCGUUCCGCAAGGAUGUUCCCUUUGAUCAAGAACGAAAGUUGGGGGAUCGAAGACGAUCAGAUACCGUCGUAGUCUCAACUAUAAACUAUACCAGCUAGGGAUCGGCCAACGUUUAAUUAUUCGACUUGGUCGGCACCUUAUGAGAAAUCAAAGCAUCUGGGUUCCGGGGGGAGUAUGGUCGCAAGGCUGAAACUUAAAGGAAUUGACGGAAGGGCAUCACCAGCCGUGGAGCCUGUGGCUUAAUUUGACUCAACACGGGAAAACUUACCAGGUCCAGACAUAGGAAGGAUUGACAGAUUGAUAGCUCUUUCUUGAUUCUGUGGGUGGUGGUGCAUGGCCGUUUUUAGUCGGUGGAUGUGAUCUGUCUGCUUAAUUGCGUUAACGGACGAGACCCCAGCCUGCUAAAUAGCGCGGCCGAGCUUUGCUCGGUGCGAGCUUCUUAGAGGGACCAUGAUGCGCGAUAGCACAAGGAAGUUUGGGGCAACAACAGGUCUGUGAUGCCCUUAGAUGUUCUGGGCCGCACACGGGCUACACUGGCGCCUGCAACGAGCAUAUCAGCUGGCCCGAGAGGGUCUUGGCUAAUCUUUGGAACCGGCGCCGUGCUUGGGAUUGACCAUUGCAAUUGUUGGUCAUGCAACGAGGAAUGCCUUGUAAACGCGAGUCAUCAGCUCGCAUUGAAUACGUCCCUGCCCUUUGUACACACCGCCCGUCGCUCCUACCGAUGAAUGUUCCGAUGAAAUUUUCGGAGAGCGCCGGAGAACGGGGCUCCGCCCUGCAGAACUGGAGGCUCAAAGUCACUUAAAUCUGAACAUUUCGAGGAAGGAGAAGUCGUAACAAGGUAGCCG